AGAGACAAGAAUGUGCAUUUUGGAAUCCCUAGGAAUGAUGGCUGCGAGUGGAGCGGCUGCUAGUGUAGCGUAUAAGACUUGUGACUGAGCGCAAGUGAAUCAGAACUGUGGGUAUGUAAUAUACCGAAAAUUCGGAAAAUAAAAAUGUUGAACUUUAGUCAAAUUGACCAAAGUGCGAGGAUGGUACACUUCGGAAAGUCCGAAGGUGUUAAAAUGAGUAAGAGUGAGUUACGGGAGGUUUUCGAGAGCUACAGAAUCAAAUCCGCAUUCUGCAGAUUUUUGAG
Molecule: long non-coding RNA, 284 nt
Filed under: Ananas comosus (pineapple)
Lineage: Eukaryota; Viridiplantae; Streptophyta; Magnoliopsida; Poales; Bromeliaceae
Description: long non-coding RNA (ACOM_LNC044327)
Source: RNAcentral